This 72-nucleotide transfer RNA is filed under the name Bos taurus (domestic cattle). It matches the Rfam family "tRNA". Rfam says of the family: Transfer RNA (tRNA) molecules are approximately 80 nucleotides in length. The record is from Rfam by way of RNAcentral. Lineage: Eukaryota; Metazoa; Chordata; Mammalia; Artiodactyla; Bovidae. RNAcentral also lists the same sequence under 6 other names.
UCCCUGGUGGCUCAGAUGGUAAAGCAUCUGCCUACAAUGCGGGAGACCCAGGUUCAAACCCUGGGUUGGGAA